ACUCAAAUGAAUUGACGGGGACCCGCACAAGCGGUGGAUGAUGUGGAUUAAUUCGAUGCAACGCGAAAAACCUUACCUACCCUUGACAUGGUCCGGAUCCUGCAGAGAUGCGGGAGUGCUCGCAAGAGAACGGAUACACAGGUGCUGCAUGGCUGUCGUCAGCUCGUGUCGUGAGAUGUUGGGUUAAGUCCCGCAACGAGCGCAACCCUUGUCAUUAAUUGCCAGCAUGUAAUGGUGGGCACUUUAAUGAGACUGCCGGUGACAAACCGGAGGAAGGUGGGGAUGACGUCAAGUCCUCAUGGCCCUUAUGGGUAGGGCUUCACACGUCAUACAAUGGUGCAUACAGAGGGUUGCCAACCCGUGAGGGGGAGCUAAUCUCAGAAAGUGCAUCGUAGUCCGGAUUGGAGUCUGCAACCCGACUCCAUGAAGUUGGAAUCGCUAGUAAUCGCGGAUCAGCAUGUCGCGGUGAAUACGUUCCCGGGUCUUGUACACACCGCCCGU
This 501-nucleotide ribosomal RNA is filed under the name uncultured bacterium. RNAcentral's name for it is "partial 16S ribosomal RNA". It matches the Rfam family "Bacterial small subunit ribosomal RNA", at positions 899 to 1397 of the family's 1533-position model. The record is from RNAcentral.